RNAcentral lists this ribosomal RNA (492 nucleotides) under uncultured bacterium. RNAcentral describes it as "partial 16S ribosomal RNA". It matches the Rfam family "Bacterial small subunit ribosomal RNA", at positions 29 to 507 of the family's 1533-position model. The record is from RNAcentral.
AGUGAACGCUGGCGGUAGGCCUAACACAUGCAAGUCGAACGGCAGCACAGUAAGAGCUUGCUCUUACGGGUGGCGAGUGGCGGACGGGUGAGGAAUACAUCGGAAUCUACUUUUUCGUGGGGGAUAACGUAGGGAAACUUACGCUAAUACCGCAUACGACCUACGGGUGAAAGCAGGGGAUCUUCGGACCUUGCGCGAUUGAAUGAGCCGCUGUCGGAUUAGCUAGUUGGCGGGGUAAAGGCCCGCCAAGGCGACGAUCCGUAGCUGGUCUGAGAGGAUGAUCAGCCACACUGGAACGGAGACACGGUCCAGAAUCCUACGGGAGGCAGCAGUGGGGAAUAUUGGACAAUGGGCGCAAGCCUGAUCCAGCCAUACCGCGUGGGUGAAGAAGGCCUUCGGGUUGUAAAGCCCUUUUGUUGGGAAAGAAAAGCAGCAGGUUAAUACCCCGCUGUUCUGACGGUACCCAAAGAAUAAGCACCGGCUAACUUCGUG